Long non-coding RNA from Anas platyrhynchos (mallard), 1525 nucleotides. RefSeq lists it as uncharacterized. The record is from RefSeq and is a predicted model, not a curated record. NCBI's taxonomy places the organism in Eukaryota, Metazoa, Chordata, Aves, Anseriformes, Anatidae.
UGGACACUCCAGAGGAAUGCAGAGCAAUGCAAGCCUCAGUCUGGAACCACCUGAGACAUUUCCAUCCCCAGGUGCGACUUUUAGGAUACAGACUUCAGCUGUUGAGAUAGUAAAAUGUUCAGUUGAUAGAUAAGGACAUGACAUAUCUUGGCUGAGGAUCUGGCUCACAAAUACAACUGGGACACAAGAUGAUUACCUUCUGGACAUUUUUGUACUUUAUCCCUGCGUAAUUUGGAGAAUUUGAAAUCUACAUGAGAUACUUGAUUCCUUGUUGUCUUACAGCAGUAGACUGGGAAUAUUUCCACUGAAAUAUCACAGAAGUAACUACUCAUGUAAUUUAUUGUCUGUAAAGGGAGUGUCAGAGACAAAUUAUCUUUAAAAGAAACUUACUGUGAUAUUAGGCAAUGUGUAAUUCUCUUUAAAACAACAAAAAAUCCUUUAGCUAACUGAAGAUUACCAUUUGAAAAAGACAAUGAAUACUGUCAUUCAUUUUUUAAAGAAGUUGGAAAGCUAACAAACAAAAAAGAAAACAAAACAUUUUGAAGCUAGAAAAAUAACCGAAGAGGUAUACUACUUGACAUCCAUAAAUUAUUAAGUAAUAGUACUGAUAAUGGUUCUUGCCAUAAAUAAUAUACUCAUACAAAAAGUUCGGUCCCGUCAAUUUCCUUCCCAACAUCCCUCCCCAACUUUUUUAUGUUGACCUAUGAUAAAACUAUGUUUGAUAGUACUUCUCUUCAGGAGCUUUCAAGUUGUAACUACGGUUAUGUACUGUGGACCUCGUGGUGGUACACAUGUAUGGGUUUGUGAACAAACCCAUACAAAAUGCAGGUCUUGGGCCAGGGGAAAAUGUUUCUUAAGCAGGAAACUGGAGCUGGCGACCAGUUUCAAAUAUAUGUAUUCACAAUAACUCAUACUGAAACUGAUAUUCAGUAUCAAAUCCUGGCCCUCUGAUGCCAAAACUCAGUGUAAAAUAUUUUGCUAAAAUAAAAGACAUUUGGUUUUCAAGUAAACAUAUAUGCUUCUUCACCUCAAGCUAAGAUGUCUUUUGGUAUGGAUUCUAGUCAUGGUUUUUGUCAACAAGGAAGAUAUUAGCUGCCAUCAAUAUAUUUGACUGAUGCCAGUGGACCAUACUGAGGACCUGGACUAGAUUUACUAGCUUGCUUGUAAACACAGACACUGGUGCUGAGAGUAACAGAAACAGCUGAAGAGAUUAGGCUACCAGUUUUGGUGAAGCAGUUCUUUACUGCAACUUCUCUGUAUGCUGCAAGCUCCAGGAAGCAACAAAGAGGAGUUAAAAGCAGUUUUAACAACAUCUGGUGCCUUCUUAAAUCCAAGCUGCCUUUCUCUGCCAGCAAUAAUUAUCUGCUUCAUGGAAAAACAUGACCAAUAUGAAGAAUUGUUAUUCAUAUUGCAAGCAGAUUGCUAGACAGAUAACACAUCAUGAUAAUGAUGAUGACGAUAAUGAUAUAUAAAUGUUAUACACACUGCAUUCCUAUUACAUUCCUGCUUUGAAUAUAGCCCUGCA